Molecule: ribosomal RNA, 433 nt
Filed under: uncultured bacterium
Lineage: Bacteria
Description: partial 16S ribosomal RNA
Rfam family: Bacterial small subunit ribosomal RNA
Source: RNAcentral
AACGAACGCUGGCGGCAUGCCUAACACAUGCAAGUCGAACGAGACCUUCGGGUCUAGUGGCGCACGGGUGCGUAACGCGUGGGAACCUGCCCUUAGGUUCGGAAUAACUCCCCGAAAGGGGUGCUAAUACCGGAUAAUGUCUUCGGACCAAAGAUUUAUCGCCUUUGGAUGGGCCCGCGUUGGAUUAGCUAGUUGGUAGGGUAAAAGCCUACCAAGGCGACGAUCCAUAGCUGGUCUGAGAGGAUGAUCAGCCACACUGGGACUGAGACACGGCCCAGACUCCUACGGGAGGCAGCAGUGGGGAAUAUUGGAAAAUGGGCGAAAGCCUGAACCAGCAAUGACGCGUGAGUGAUGAAGGCCUUAGGGUUGUAAAGCUCUUUUACCCGGGAUGAUAAUGACAGUACCGGGAGAAUAAGCUCCGGCUAACUCCGUG